Long non-coding RNA from Penaeus indicus, 349 nucleotides. RefSeq lists it as uncharacterized. Lineage: Eukaryota; Metazoa; Arthropoda; Malacostraca; Decapoda; Penaeidae. The transcript has 3 exons. The record is from RefSeq and is a predicted model, not a curated record.
CAGCAUCAUGAAGCCUGCAAUACUUGUCCUCAUUCUUGGGCUCUCCGUUCUUGUGGCAGCCGACGAAACUGAGGCGGAAGCUCUAACAAUGAGCGAGGAGGUUAACCCCGAGUUUGAGCACCCACACAGCCUCAGGAAAAGGUUGACUGAUGACCCAAAUGAGGAAAACGACCACGAGGAUUUUGGUAGGAGCUAUGACAGAAAAAUCUAGAACUGUGAAGAUCUCAAGAACGGAGGAAAGUGACGGAGACUCUCUACUCGACUUGGGUAAAUCCAUCGAUAAAUUUUCUCUUAGAACACAAAAUACAGAAGGUUAAGCAGAAGAAAAGACAGAAAAUUAAGUAAGAUC